Long non-coding RNA from Osmerus eperlanus (European smelt), 820 nucleotides. RefSeq lists it as uncharacterized. The record is from RefSeq and is a predicted model, not a curated record. The transcript has 3 exons. NCBI's taxonomy places the organism in Eukaryota, Metazoa, Chordata, Actinopteri, Osmeriformes, Osmeridae.
GUAGAUGAACGUGAUUGGCCGAAAAGACCGGAAAUUCCGUCACAGAAUAAUUCUCACUAUAAAGUCCUCCUCUUUGCGGGUAGACUGCCUUUUCACCCUCGAAAAACAGAGCAUGACGCCAAACAUUAACGUAACGUUAGAUAUCGACGCUAUGAAGUUUCCCUGGUUGUUACAGCACUGCAGUCAACAAACCACCUAUCUAACAACAAAUUUUCUGAUCAAGCAGGCCCAUGGUUGAAGCUGAUUGGCGAGGGAGAGAUCAUGUGACGAAGGAAGUGCAGGUGUGGUUCCAGAACUGUCGGGCAAAAGAACAAGGAGACUCAGGCAGCCCUACGCUCCCUGGCAAGCCAAGCACUCGCAGCCCUCCGCUCCCUGGCAAGCCAAGCACUCGCAGCCCUCCGCUGCAAACAUGGAGUUGUUUACAAGUUUGUUAAUUAAAAUGUUCAAGAUUGUAAUGGAAAUUAUUUCAUAUAUCCCAAACUUGCCUUUUUAAUGUAUUGUAAAAGGUAAGGACUAGCUGCACUGUGAUGGAAAAACAGGGUGAAGUGUAUUGUGCUAACUGGUAAAGUUGUGUGAUUUAAGUUAGUGGCUGACCCCUGACCUCCAGGAGAUCAUGACUUCAUAACAGGAUGGAGCUGGGGCAUACAUAGCUUUAACAUGCCACAGUAGUUAUGUCAGUGGAGCGACAGAUGGCUCAAUGCUGUCUCAGUGGAAUGUCAAUUUUUUUGUGGUGUGUGCUCUUCUAAGCUAAUUAUGUUCCAACCAUUUUUGUUCCACAUUGCAGUUUUAAAUACAGUUGAAUAAAAGUUGUUUCUCCAAA